UGGGGAAUAUUGCGCAAUGGGCGAAAGCCUGACGCAGCAACACCGCGUGAGGGAUGACGGCCUUCGGGUUGUAAACCUCUUUCAGCUCCGACGAAGCGAAAGUGACGGUAGGAGCAGAAGAAGCACCGGCUAACUACGUGCCAGCAGCCGCGGUAAUACGUAGGGUGCAAGCGUUGUCCGGAAUUAUUGGGCGUAAAGAGCUCGUAGGCGGUCCGUUGCGUCUGCCGUGAAAACCCGGAGCUCAACUCCGGGCCUGCGGUGGAUACGGGCGGACUAGAGUCCGGUAGGGGAGACUGGAAUUCCUGGUGUAGCGGUGGAAUGCGCAGAUAUCAGGAGGAACACCGGUGGCGAAGGCGGGUCUCUGGGCCGGAACUGACGCUGAGGAGCGAAAGCGUGGGGAGCGAACAGGAUUA
RNAcentral lists this ribosomal RNA (413 nucleotides) under uncultured bacterium. Its description in RNAcentral is "bacterial SSU rRNA". It matches the Rfam family "Bacterial small subunit ribosomal RNA", at positions 355 to 780 of the family's 1533-position model. The record is from RNAcentral.